This is a non-coding RNA of Acanthosepion pharaonis, 114 nucleotides long. NCBI's taxonomy places the organism in Eukaryota, Metazoa, Mollusca, Cephalopoda, Sepiida, Sepiidae. The record is from the annotation of a GenBank genome assembly.
UUACGGCAAUAUCACGUCGAAACACCAGUUCUCGUAAGAUCCCCGAAGUUAAGCAACGCCGGGCUUGGUCAGUACCUGGUUGGGUGACGGCUUGGGAAUACUCGGUGCUGCAAG